Molecule: ribosomal RNA, 450 nt
Filed under: uncultured Glomeromycotina
Lineage: Eukaryota; Fungi; Glomeromycota
Description: SSU rRNA
Rfam family: Eukaryotic small subunit ribosomal RNA
Source: RNAcentral
AGCAGCCGCGGCAAUUCCAGCUCCAAUAGCGUAUAUUAAAGUUGUUGCAGUUAAAAAGCUCGUAGUUGAAUUUCGGGGUUAGUACGCUGGUCAUGCCUUCGGUAUGUACUGGUGUUACCGAUUCCUACCUUCUGAAGAACCGUCAUGUCAUUAGUUUGGUGUGGCGGGGAAUCAGGACUGUUACUUUGAAAAAAUUAGAGUGUUUAAAGCAGGCUCGCGCUCGAAUACAUUAGCAUGGAAUAAUGAAAUAGGACGUUCGAUCCUAUUUUGUUGGUUUCUAGGAUUGACGUAAUGAUUAAUAGGGAUAGUUGGGGGCAUUAGUAUUCAAUUGUCAGAGGUGAAAUUCUUGGAUUUAUUGAAGACUAACUACUGCGAAAGCAUUUGCCAAGGAUGUUUUCAUUAAUCAAGAACGAAAGUUAGGGGAUCGAAGACGAUCAGAUACCGUCGUAG